ACGCUGGCGGCAUGCCUUACACAUGCAAGUCGAACGGUAACAGGUCUUCGGAUGCUGACGAGUGGCGAACGGGUGAGUAAUACAUCGGAACGUGCCCGAUCGUGGGGGAUAACGAAGCGAAAGCUUUGCUAAUACCGCAUACGAUCUACGGAUGAAAGCAGGGGACCGCAAGGCCUUGCGCGAACGGAGCGGCCGAUGGCAGAUUAGGUAGUUGGUGGGAUAAAAGCUUACCAAGCCGACGAUCUGUAGCUGGUCUGAGAGGACGACCAGCCACACUGGGACUGAGACACGGCCCAGACUCCUACGGGAGGCAGCAGUGGGGAAUUUUGGACAAUGGGCGAAAGCCUGAUCCAGCCAUGCCGCGUGCAGGAUGAAGGCCUUCGGGUUGUAAACUGCUUUUGUACGGAACGAAAAGACUCUGGUUAAUACCUGGGGUCCAUGACGGUACCGUAAGAAUAAGCACCGGCUAACUACGUGCCAGCAGCCGCGGUAAUACGUAGGGUGCAAGCGUUAAUCGGAAUUACUGGGCGUAAAGCGCGCGCAGGCGGUUAUAUAAGACAGAUGUGAAAUCCCCGGGCUCAACCUGGGAACUGCAUUUGUGACUGUAUAGCUAGAGUACGGCAGAGGGGGAUGGAAUUCCGCGUGUAGCAGUGAAAUGCGUAGAUAUGCGGAGGAACACCGAUGGCGAAGGCAAUCCCCUGGGCCUGUACUGACGCUCAUGCACGAAAGCGUGGGGAGC
This 739-nucleotide ribosomal RNA is filed under the name uncultured bacterium. RNAcentral describes it as "bacterial SSU rRNA". It matches the Rfam family "Bacterial small subunit ribosomal RNA", at positions 33 to 769 of the family's 1533-position model. The record is from RNAcentral.